This 253-nucleotide ribosomal RNA is filed under the name uncultured bacterium. RNAcentral describes it as "partial 16S ribosomal RNA". It matches the Rfam family "Bacterial small subunit ribosomal RNA", at positions 524 to 776 of the family's 1533-position model. The record is from RNAcentral.
UACGGAGGGUGCAACCGUUGUCCGGAAUCACUGGGCGUAAAGAGCAUGUAGGUGGUUUGGUAAGUGGGUGAUUAAAGACCGAUGCUUAACAUCGGGAAUGUUGCCUAUACUGCCUGACUUGAGUAUGACAGGGGUAAGCGGAACUUUAGGUGUAGGAGUGAAAUCCGUAGAUAUCUAAAGGAACACCAAUGGCGAAGGCAGCUUACUGGGUCUUUACUGACACUGAGAUGCGAAAGCGUGGGGAGCGAACGGG